RNAcentral lists this ribosomal RNA (449 nucleotides) under uncultured Sphingobacteriales bacterium. RNAcentral describes it as "bacterial SSU rRNA". It matches the Rfam family "Bacterial small subunit ribosomal RNA", at positions 930 to 1382 of the family's 1533-position model. The record is from RNAcentral. Lineage: Bacteria; Pseudomonadati; Bacteroidota; Sphingobacteriia; Sphingobacteriales.
CGGUGGAGCAUGUGGUUUAAUUCGAUGAUACGCGAGGAACCUUACCUGGGCUCAAAUGUAUGUUGACGUAUUCUGAAAGGGAUACUUCUUCGGACAAUAUACAAGGUGCUGCAUGGUUGUCGUCAGCUCGUGCCGUGAGGUGUCGGGUUAAGUCCCAUAACGAGCGCAACCCUAUCAUUAGUUGCCAUCAGGUCAAGCUGGGGACUCUAAUGAAACUGCCUACGCAAGUAGUGAGGAAGGUGGGGAUGACGUCAAAUCAGCACGGCCCUUACGUCCAGGGCUACACACGUGCUACAAUGGCCGGUACAAAGGGCAGCUACCUGGUGACAGGAUGCUAAUCUCAAAAGCCGGUCUCAGUUCGGAUCGGAGUCUGCAACCCGGCUCCGUGAAGCUGGAAUCGCUAGUAAUCGCGCAUCAGCCAUGGCGCGGUGAAUACGUUCCCGGGCCUU